CUACGGGCCGCAGCAGUUAGGAAUAUUCUACAAUGCGCGCAAGCGUGAUAGAUUGAGCCAGAGUGUUUUUCAAAUGAAAAGCUUUUGUGAAAUGUAAAAAGUUUCACGAAUAAGGACUGGGUAAGACUAGUGCCAGCCGCCGCGGUAAUACUAGCGGUCCAAGUCGCAGCCAUUUUUAUUGGGUCUAAAACAUCUGUAGCUUGCUUAAUAAGUUCCUUGUGAAAUUUUAUCUCUCAAAGAUAGAGCGUGCAGGAAAUACUGUUAAGCUAGAGACUGGAAGACGUAACGAGUACGUUCGGAGUAGCGGUAAAAUGUGUUAAUCCUGGACGGACUAACAAUAGCGAAGGCACGUUACGAGGACAGUUCUGACAGUAAGGGAUGAAGGCUAGGGGCGCAAAACGGAUUAGAUACCCCCGUAGUC
Molecule: ribosomal RNA, 421 nt
Filed under: uncultured archaeon
Lineage: Archaea
Description: partial 16S ribosomal RNA
Rfam family: Archaeal small subunit ribosomal RNA
Source: RNAcentral